GGAGAUGGUUCUACAGACUAGGCCUCACAGCAGAAAAAGCCCUCACCUUGGUUGCUCUCAGAUGUACUCCAGCAGGGUGUGGAACAAUUGGAAGGGCCUCAUCCUGAGAUGCUUAUCACCUGACAGUCUCAGCAGACAAACUAAAGACAUUAUCAUCAAGGAGACACUAACCUAUCCACUGGUCCCAAGAGAUGCCCUGCGCUUGUCAAGGAUGCAGCAUUGCUAAGCCACAUGGAGGCCAUGCACAUCUGUGCCCUGCUUCCCUUUUCUGUAGAUUAUGGGACUGAGUCACAAAGGCUCCUCACCAGUACUAAAGUUUACUGUAAGAAAAAUGUUCCCAGAUAUCUGCAGAUAUAGACUCUGUAUAUCUUCACUAAAGACCUGUCUCCUGGAGAAUGUUAAAAACCAUUCCACUUAAAGUUGAUUCAGCGUGUAAA
Long non-coding RNA from Podarcis raffonei (Aeolian wall lizard), 437 nucleotides. RefSeq lists it as uncharacterized. The transcript is spliced from 2 exons. Lineage: Eukaryota; Metazoa; Chordata; Lepidosauria; Squamata; Lacertidae. The record is from RefSeq and is a predicted model, not a curated record.